This 390-nucleotide ribosomal RNA is filed under the name uncultured bacterium. RNAcentral's name for it is "bacterial SSU rRNA". It matches the Rfam family "Bacterial small subunit ribosomal RNA", at positions 147 to 518 of the family's 1533-position model. The record is from RNAcentral.
CAUCCGGAAACGGGUGCUAAUACCGCAUAGUUUUCUUGAUCGCAUGAUCGGGAAAGGAAGGACGGCCUUUGUGCUGUCGCUUAUGGAUGGACCCGCGGCGUAUUAGUUAGUUGGUGAGGUAACGGCUCACCAAGACGAUGAUACGUAGCCGACCUGAGAGGGUGAUCGGCCACAUUGGGGACUGAGACACGGCCCAAACUCCUACGGGAGGCAGCAGUAGGGAAUCUUCCGCAAUGGACGAAAGUCUGACGGAGCAACGCCGCGUGAGUGAAAAGAAGGUUUUCGGAUCGUAAAACUCUGUUGUCAGAGAAGAACAAGUUGGAGAGUAACUGCUCCAGCCUUGACGGUAUCUGACCAGAAAGCCACGGCUAACUACGUGCCAGCCGCCGC